ACAGCAGAGGAGAGGGUGAAGACGUUGCUAUGGUUUGGAGGAGCACACGAUCAGGAAGAAUUUUUUUCCUCUUUCUAAAGUAGCACUGUGCUGUCACUAGCACAUUUUAUUAUUUCUUUCCCUUUUUCAUCAUCUCUGGGGAAAAACAGCUUUAAAGCCAGAAUGAUGCUGGGGACCAGCCAGCUGGUGGUUGAGUUUGAAGUGGUGCUUAUCCAUAGCAGAAGCACAGAAGAAAGAAAAUCUGUAGCAGAAGGUCUGUAUCAUUUAGUGCAGACCCAACUGUACCCUCUUUUUGCUCUGCAACAGCAUUUGUGCUCUUCUGUCCAGUGCUACUUCCCAAGCAGUAGCACUCACCAGCAGCACCCAUGAGCAGUCAGCAUCUGUUUGGAAAGAAGCUCUCCAAAUGCAUUUGAAAAGGAUUUCUAUCAUCAUUGAGACAUGUGAUGCAAAGGGAAGGACAUUCAAACAGAUACUGAUAGUGAAGAAAUGUAUCAGCAACCUGAGCAAGACAGCCUGAAAGUAAUAACAUGCCUAUUGAAAUCCUCAAGUUAUAUUUAGACUCU
Lonchura striata (white-rumped munia) is the source of this 563-nucleotide non-coding RNA. The record is from RefSeq and is a predicted model, not a curated record. NCBI's taxonomy places the organism in Eukaryota, Metazoa, Chordata, Aves, Passeriformes, Estrildidae.